GCCUGGGUGGCUCAGUAGGUUAAGCGUCCGACUUCAGCUCAGGUCAUGAUCUCACGGUUCGUGGGUUCGAGCCCCACAUCGGGCU
This 85-nucleotide transfer RNA is filed under the name Felis catus (domestic cat). It matches the Rfam family "tRNA". Rfam says of the family: Transfer RNA (tRNA) molecules are approximately 80 nucleotides in length. Their secondary structure includes four short double-helical elements and three loops (D, anti-codon, and T loops). Further hydrogen bonds mediate the characteristic L-shaped molecular structure. tRNAs have two regions of fundamental functional importance: the anti-codon, which is responsible for specific mRNA codon recognition, and the 3' end, to which the tRNAs corresponding amino acid is attached (by aminoacyl-tRNA synthetases). tRNAs cope with the degeneracy of the genetic code in two manners: having more than one tRNA (with a specific anti-codon) for a particular amino acid; and 'wobble' base-pairing, i.e. permitting non-standard base-pairing at the 3rd anti-codon position. Lineage: Eukaryota; Metazoa; Chordata; Mammalia; Carnivora; Felidae. The record is from Rfam by way of RNAcentral.